ACAAGAACCGGCAGCGGCGGCAGCAGCAGCAGCAGCAGCAGCAGCAGCAGCAGCAACUGGAUUUGCUUUUUCACCAGAGGAUCCAGAUUUCCCUGUGGCCUCGCAAACAAAAAAGAAGGAAGACGGAGCAGCACAGUCAUCCCUUUGUGAAAAAGGCAUUCAGAGACGGGGUUUCACCGUGUUAGCCAGGAUGGUCUCGAUCUCCUGACCUCGCGAUCCGCCCGCCUCGGCCUCCCAAAGUGCUGGGAUUACAGGCGUGAGCCACCGCGCCCGGCCUUAGCUGGUUUUUCAAAAGUCAUGGCGUGUAAUUGUCCGAACAGUGAACUUCGGAGAUCCACCGGAGGGGCGAGGCCACAGCUCGACCGCGAGCACCUGAGCAUCCUGCACCGCCUGCGACGGCCGUCAGGGGGCGCGAUGCCGCCUCACAGAACCUCAAGCGGCGCCCGGGUUCCGGCACAGACGGCCUGCGGCUCCAGGGGGCGGAGCCGAGCCGUCUCCUCAGGACCUACGCAGGAGGCGCCGUCAUCCCUACAGGGACACCUGAGAGGGCCCAGCCUCCUCCUCCUCAGGACCCACUCGGGAGACGCCGCUGGCUCUCUAGGAACACCUGGGGACCGUGGCCAGGGACGACCCAGCCUCCUUCUCCUCAGCUCCUCAGGAACGACUGGGGAAGCUGUGGCUUCAUGGUCCCCGAGGCUGCCCGAGGAAAGGUAUUUCAGGACAGCCAGGAGGGGGCGCACAUCCGCCGCGAAACUGUGAGCAAGAGCGUCUGUGCUGAACCAUGGCGCCACCAGAGGGCGCGCGAUCCCGCCCCAACCAACUUCCCGCUGAAGUGCCAGAAGCAGCGAGGAGCUUCAACUUCCUCAGGGCAGCACGGGGGUCGUGUUAAUUUGGUGUUCUUCAUUGAUGAUGAUUAUUCCCCACCUUCUAAGAGACAAAGACCAACGAGCCACCACAGCCACCAGUCCCAGAACCUGCCAAUGCUGGGGAACGGAAAAUGAGGGAGUUCAACUCUGGCCCUCACAAUCCAGUGGAGGAGACGAAACUCAUCUGCCUCUGUCCCUCUGGGCACGCCUCAUGCCAGGUGCAUCUGUGGACAGGGGCCAUGCUCCUGGGCUUCCAAAGUUGGAGAAAGCUGCCAGGCUCAGGUCUGAAGGCCAGAAUUCUACAGUAAGUCCUACUGAGUCAAGGUGGGAGCAGGGUCGGUAGCUUCCGAGGCUCUGCGGGAGAAUCCGUUUCCUGGCCGUAGAGGUGGCCUGCACUCCGCAGCUUGUGCUGCCCGUCUCGAAUGACUGGAGUUUCCUGCUUCUGUCACUACACCUCCCACCCUCUCCAUCACCUGCUCUGCUCUUACAAGGAUCCGAAGAAAUGGAAUCAUCGUAUCGCUGAUCUACGUAAACAAACUGAAGAAUUGUCUGAAAGAAAAUAUGACAUGAACUUAUGAAUUCAACAGGUGAAGAUUUACAACUUGAUAAAUCAACUUUGUCAGCUCGAGCUGUAAAAGCCAAAGGUCCGGUGAUGAUCCCAUACCCUUUUUUCCAGUCUCAUGUUGAAGAUUUUUAUGUAGAAGGCCUUCCCAAAGGAAUUUUUUUUUUUUUUUUUUUUUUGAGAUGGAGUUUUCACUCUUAUCGCCCAGGCUGGGGUGCAAUGGCGCAACCUUGCUGGUCACUGCAACCUCUGCCUCCUGGGUUCAAGAAAUUCUCCUGCCUUAGCCUCCCAAGUCACUGGGAUUACAGGUGCCCACCACCAUACCAGGCUAAUUUUUGUAUUUUUAGUGGAGAUGCGGUUUCACCAGCCACCUAAGCUGAAGAUUCCCUUGAGAACAAGUACUGUCCC
RNAcentral lists this long non-coding RNA (1836 nucleotides) under Homo sapiens (human). Its description in RNAcentral is "non-protein coding lnc-CACNA1B-1:2". The record is from RNAcentral. Lineage: Eukaryota; Metazoa; Chordata; Mammalia; Primates; Hominidae.